AGAAGAGUUGUUACUGUUGCAGAACUUGAAAUAGUUUUGAGAUUAAGCCAAAGUCUUACAUGAGUGUAAAGACCUUCAGUGUAUUCUCAUGGCUAGCUAAUAGAUUUUUUUUUUUUUUUUUAAGGGGAAGGCUAAAUAAUUGAAAAUGUCAAUGUUAAUUCAUCAAAUCCAGGUUUAUGAAGGAGCAAAUGUGAAAUGUGCUUGUAAUCUAUUAAAGGAAGCACUAAGAUGCAGAUCAACAAUACGCUGAAGAAAAGGAAUUUGACAACGCAAUGAAGCCAGUUGUGUGUGUAUAGAUUGGAGUGGGAUGACCAGGUUGUGCUUUCUGGAGACACGUGGUGAGGAUGUGGGAUGAAGAAAGAGGGUACCACAGCUCAGAGAUGUGGGAAAGACUGUCACCUUUCCUUUCUGUGUGCUUUCUAGGACGAAGCAGGCUAUAGGAGUGAGGAGCAGUCAGGGGCAUCAGCAUCUUCAGCAGGUACAGCCCUUCCCAAAGAUGCUAGCUCCAGGCAGGCACACAGAGCUCAGAUCCAAUGGGAGUGAAUCCAUCGCUGCUCAACCUCACAAGGAAAUGACCAAGACUGAGCAGUUUCUGGCCCAAAUGAAGCAGAUCCCCUCAUUGUAGCUCUUGCUGCGUGUGGUUUAGUUUUAGCGAGUGGAAUUUCUUUGAUGGAUUCAAGGUGAUGCAAUGGCUCAUUGGCUGUUUUCAAGUGAUAACUGCUCAGAGAUGAAGGGAUCUGGGAGGAAAAUCAGCUGCACUUUGGUGGGGUUUGAAAGUUAAAACUGACUGGCCAAGAGUGGGAAAUGAACGUGUAGCUUUAUUUAACAACAGUAGUAAUACAAAUGGCCUCUUUAUCAUCUGCUUGGUAGAGAUAAAGGGUUGAACUUGUAAAUUAGUUAUGUAUUUUAGGACAGUUCUAGAUUUUGAUAGCAUAGCUUUAAACAAUAGGAUUGGAAAAACUCGGAGCAGGAAUUCGGGUACAUGGCAUGUUAGCUGUGGAAGCACUUUCUCUAAGGGUGAGCAGCAGAGCUGCUGCUCGUCACUUCUCCAGAGCUGUCAAUCACACCCCUUUACCAAGCAAGUAAAAAAAAGAA
Molecule: long non-coding RNA, 1095 nt
Organism: Pezoporus flaviventris
Lineage: Eukaryota; Metazoa; Chordata; Aves; Psittaciformes; Psittacidae
Exons: 2
Source: RefSeq, a predicted model, not a curated record